Molecule: non-coding RNA, 97 nt
Filed under: Bacillus testis
Lineage: Bacteria; Bacillati; Bacillota; Bacilli; Caryophanales; Bacillaceae
Description: pan motif
Rfam family: pan motif
Source: RNAcentral
UGGGCAGUAUCGUUUGUGAACUGCACCUGGCGCUUUUUGUUUAUUUGGAUAGUUAUGAAAAGUCUGCCUAGAUCCGUUUGAGGACCAGGACAGAGGG